GGCGCCAUAGCCAAGUGGUAAGGCAGAGGUCUGCAACACCUUUAUCCCCAGUUCAAAUCUGGGUGGUGCCU
This 71-nucleotide transfer RNA is filed under the name Candidatus Epulonipiscium sp. RNAcentral describes it as "tRNA-Cys". It matches the Rfam family "tRNA". Rfam says of the family: Transfer RNA (tRNA) molecules are approximately 80 nucleotides in length. The record is from RNAcentral. Lineage: Bacteria; Bacillati; Bacillota; Clostridia; Lachnospirales; Lachnospiraceae.